RNAcentral lists this ribosomal RNA (195 nucleotides) under Klebsiella pneumoniae. Its description in RNAcentral is "partial 16S ribosomal RNA". It matches the Rfam family "Bacterial small subunit ribosomal RNA", at positions 65 to 258 of the family's 1533-position model. The record is from RNAcentral. Lineage: Bacteria; Pseudomonadati; Pseudomonadota; Gammaproteobacteria; Enterobacterales; Enterobacteriaceae.
AACGGUAUCACAGAGAGCUUGCUCUCGGGUGACGAGUGGCGGACGGGUGAGUNAUGUCUGGGAAACUGCCUGAUGGAGGGGGAUNACUACUGNAANCGGUAGCUAAUACCGCAUAACNUCNCAAGACCAAANAGGGGGACCUUCGGGCCUCUUGCCAUCAAAUGUGCCCACAUGGGAUUAACUANUAGGUGGGGU